Molecule: ribosomal RNA, 1076 nt
Filed under: Encalypta ciliata
Lineage: Eukaryota; Viridiplantae; Streptophyta; Bryopsida; Encalyptales; Encalyptaceae
Description: eukaryotic LSU rRNA
Rfam family: Eukaryotic large subunit ribosomal RNA
Source: RNAcentral
GAUUUCCCUAGUAACGGCGAGCGAACCGGAAAGAGCCCAGCUUGAAAAUCGCGGCCCCUCCGGGGCCGCGAAUUGUAGUCUGGAGAAGCGUCCUCUGCGGUGGACCGGGCCCAAGUUCCCUGGAACGGGACGUCAGAGAGGGUGAGAACCCCGUCGAGCCCGGACCCCCCCGCUCCACGAGGCGCUGUCGACGAGUCGGGCUGUUUGGGAAUGCAGCCCUAAGUGGGUGGUAAAUUCCAUCUAAGGCUAAAUAUUGGCAAGAGACCGAUAGCGAACAAGUACCGCGAGGGAAAGAUGAAAAGGACUUUGAAAAGAGAGUUAAAAAGUGCUUGAAAUUGCUGGGAGGGAAGCGAAUGGAAGCUGCGGGUGUGCCUCGGCUGGAUGUGGAACGGCCUUAAACAAGCCGGUCCGCCGUCACCAGCGCGGGGCACUGGUCAGCGUGGGCCACUCCGGCGGGACAAGAGCGGGAUGUAGUUUCCCGUGGUCAUGCCGUUGGGGUGGCCGAGGAACGAAGCGCGCGCCCCCCCCUCCAAGGGGGGGCGUGAGGUUUACCUCAACUGCGCGCUCGAGACGCUGGCGUAUUGAGCUCUUCAUCCGACCCGUCUUGAAACACGGACCAAGGAGUCUAACAUGUAUGCGAGCCGGUGGGCGGCAAACCCAUUGAGGCGCAAGUAACCUGACAGGUGGGAUCCCCUCUUAUUCAUAUAGAAAAGGGAGCACCAUCGACCGACCGUGAUCUUCUGUGAAAGGUUCGAGUGUGAGCAUACCUGUUGGGACCCGAAAGAUGGUGAACUAUGCCUGAGCAGGGCGAAGCCAGAGGAAACUCUGGUGGAGGCUCGUAGCGAUACUGACGUGCAAAUCGUUCGUCAGACUUGGGUAUAGGGGCGAAAGACUAAUCGAACCAUCUAGUAGCUGGUUCCCUCCGAAGUUUCCCUCAGGAUAGCUGGAGCUCGUGUAAAAGUUUUAUCAGGUAAAGCGAAUGAUUAGAGGCAUCGGGGGUGUAACACCCUCGACCUAUUCUCAAACUUUAAAUAGGUAAGCCGCCGGGGUUGCUUGGUUGAACCCCGGCACAGAAU